UGGAUGUUUGGCAAGAUUACCCGUUGGCCUAAAUCAGCCUGCCGUUAAAUCAAGUACUGGAAGUUAGUAGAAAUAUAUUAUUUCAUAUCAGGCUUCUUGCCAUCUCAGGAGGAGUAAAUAUUCUGGGUCCUGUUUCUUC
This 139-nucleotide long non-coding RNA is filed under the name Struthio camelus australis. RNAcentral's name for it is "lncRNA (ENSSCUG00000018010.1)". The record is from RNAcentral. Lineage: Eukaryota; Metazoa; Chordata; Aves; Struthioniformes; Struthionidae.